ACUUACCUAUCUUAAAGGAACUUGUUUAUUAAUCGAUAAUACUCGUUAUCUUUUACUUCUUCUAUUUAGCUUAUAUACCGCCGUCAAAAUUAUUUUUAUAAAAAUAAUUACCUCUUCUCAACUAAUGUCAGGUCAAGGUAUAGCUUAUGAACAAGACUAAAUAAGUUACUAUAAACUUAAUUUAUAGAACCAAAUCAAACUCAUAUAAAAAAGGAUUUAAUAACAAUAUUUUAAUACUAAUUUAAUAUGAAAUUAUUAAUAGU
This 263-nucleotide ribosomal RNA is filed under the name Dysdera cf. inermis LBB-2011. RNAcentral describes it as "partial 12S ribosomal RNA". The record is from RNAcentral. Lineage: Eukaryota; Metazoa; Arthropoda; Arachnida; Araneae; Dysderidae.